This 1440-nucleotide long non-coding RNA is filed under the name Marmota monax (woodchuck). Lineage: Eukaryota; Metazoa; Chordata; Mammalia; Rodentia; Sciuridae. The record is from RNAcentral.
GCUUUGGCUAGUUAAUGGGAUAAACAAGAGGGUGAGAAAAGGAGCAUUGAGACAGAAAAGGAGAAAGUUUGGUGAAGCAGCAAGUCUGGAGGUAGUCGGGGCAAUUGUAUGUUUAGGCUGCCUCUCCACCAUCCUAGAGAAACCUUAGCCAGCUUCUUCAUUUCUCAACAGCUUAAAAUAGUUCUGUCUCUACUGAAGGAGAAAAAACUAACUUUAUUCAAAAUUCUACACUUUUAAAAUGAUAGUUAUUUUCUCCCAACUGCCAAAGCAGAUUUUUGUUUGUUUGUUAACUUGGGCUUUUUUUUCUUUUGUUUUUUUUUUUUUUUUUUUUUUUUUGGGGGGGGGGGGGGGGGGGGGGGGGGGGGGAUGGUUCUUGUUACAGUACUGGGAAUCAGACCCAGGGCCUCUUUCAUGCUAAGAAAGUUCUCUACCACUGAGCUCCACCUCCAACCCUAACGGUUUUAAUCAGUGAGAAGGUAUAGCUUAGUUUUAGAAAUCUAUAGACAGAGCAUUCAUUAAUCUCCAGGAUAUACAAAGAACUCAAAAUAACACCAAGAAAACAAGUAACCCAGUCAAUAAAUGGGCAAAAACUGAACAAGCACCUCACAGAUGAAGAAAUACAAAUGGUCAACAAAUAUAUGAAAAAGUGUUCAACGUCUCAAGCAAUUAGAGAAAUGCAAAUUAAAACUACACUGAGAUUCCAUCUCCAGUCAGAAUGGCAAUUAUAAAAAACAUACAAGUAACAAUAAAUGUUAGGUGAGGAUGUGGGGGAAAAGGUACUUUCAUACAUUGCUGGUAGGACUGCAAAUUGGUGCAACCACUAUGGAAAGCAGUAUAGAGAUUCCUUAGAAAACUUGGAACCACCAUUUGAUCCAGUUAUCCUACUCCCUAGUAUAUACCCAAAGGACUUAAAAUUGGCAUACUACAGUGACACAGCCACAUCAGUGUUUAUAGCAAUUCAAUUCACAAUAGCCAAGGUAUGGAACCAACCUAGGUGUCCUUCAACAGAUGGAUGAAUAAAAAAAUGUGGUAUAUAUACACAGUGGACUGUUACUUCGCCAUAAAGAAAAGUGAAAUUAUGGCAUUUGCCAGAAUAUCAUGCUAGGUGAAAUAAGGCAAUCCCAAAAAAACAAAGGCCGAAGGUUCUCUCUAAUAUGUGGAUGCUAACCCACAACAAGGGGCAGGGAGGGGGAAUAAUAGAAGUCCAUUGGAUUAGACAAAAGGGAAUGAAAGGAAAAGAGGGGGAGGGGAAUAGGUAGGACAGUGGAAUUAAUCAGACAUAACUUUUCCAUCCUUGUAUCUGAAUACAUGACCUGGGUAACGGCAUCAUGUACAACCACAAGACUGGGAUCCUAAUUAGAAUAAGUUAUACUCCAUGUAUGUAUAAUAUGCCAAAAUACACCCUAUUGUCAUGUAUAUCUAAAGAGAACAAAUAAAUUU